GGGAAGCCGCGGCCCCGUCGACCACCGCCACCCCUCACGAGGGAGCGACGAGGCCCAGCGCCCGCCGACUGACCGCCCCCCGGGGGUGGUCCGCGGUCCCUAGCCGACCGACCGCCUCUCCGGGAGCGCCGCGGCCCUCGUAGCGACCGCCCUCCGCGGGGGAGCGAGCAGGAGUGCUGUCUGUGCAGAGCCAUUUGUACCCUUGGGAAGCAUCAGUGCAAGAAAACAAGGACAAGCUUCACUUCGACUGUGAAUAAGUUUUCAGAUAAAUCUGGAUUAAAAAAUGGCAUUCCUGCAGACUGUACUUCAUUCAAAGCCAAGACUCAAAAAUCUUCAUAGCUUUCAUGUGUUUUCAAAAGAACAAAUGCUGCAUAAAUACCACAUGGGCUCAUCUUGCACACAGUGUGUGUGCACAGUCAGGGUGCUCCGUGGGCUGCAAGAACCUUUAUUCAGAGGUGAACUUUGGCAAACUUCUCCCUAGUGUGUCAGAAGACACUGCAAGGGCAUACUCAAGACCAGUGUUGAGACCAAAUAGUCAUAUGAGAAGAAGCCUUUGAGAAGGAUUUUUAAAGCCUAUCUGAUUUCAGGAUUUAUAAUAUUUAAAUUUCCAGUGAUGUUCUACUCAACUGAGAAGGAGAACUGAGCAGCCCAGGCCUGAUUUUGAAAGCAAAGUCUGCCUUUUAACUUUCACUCUUCUAUUCAUACUUCCCUAUCCUACGCUACUCACCAAGAAUGAUGGCUAUUUUCCAAAGUCCUGCACAGCCAACAUCCCACUGCCAGAUUCAUAAUAAUUGGAGUCAGUGUGAAAACACAGCCUUUUGGCAAAGAACUCAUAAGCUGGCAAACAGCUUCAGGAGACAGUGGACUCUAAUUAGAAUCAAGGAGUUGGCCACAUAAGCAGAUCAAAGGCUUUUUGAAAGAAAGGGAUUAUUUCCUGAAUGCUUCAAGUGCAUAGCAACGUGAUGUAAUUCGUAACAUAAAUGCAAUUCCUGGAUGUUCCUCUUCUCCAGAAGCUUGACAGGAUGUGCAGCUACUAUGAAUGGACUGGUGGUAUUUCAGCAGGGAGGCAGUGUUCCACUGAGCAGCACCAGCCCUGUAACGCUGAAGAUGUGCCAGACUUGGGCAAUAAAAGGGACCUUGUUCUGCUUCAGCUCCAGCCUUGUCCAGCAUCACGCAGUGACACUUGGAGGUCUUCCAAGAACUUGUGUCACAGGCUCUGCUGGAGCAGAGGACAAAGUAAGCUAACUACUACCCAGCUUUGUGCUGUACCAAAGCUGUUCCCAUGUGUGCCAGUUUAGAAAGUUACAACUGAAUAUAAAAACAUUUUAAAGCAUCUCUAUCCAAAGACGUAUAUGAAAUGCAAGCUGCUGGUUUUUUCCACUACGAAAUUUAAAUGAAGAAUACAAACAGCAGAUGAAAUUUGGUUUAAGAGAGUACCAAGGAAGGAGGAAAAGGUCUGAUGGUUUGACAGUUUUGAUGCAGUCUGAGAAGUAUGUGAGCCAUGAGGCUGCUGAACCUCACUGUUUUACCAGCCUUCACUCAAGAACCUGUUUGAUAAGUCAGAGCUGCCCCGGGAAAUGUCAGCAGUUCAUGGAGUUCAGUGGCUGAGAGACACACAGAGCUGACCAGAGGUGAAGGUUUUCCUCUCCAAACACCUGACCACGUGAGCCCAGCUGGAAACUUAUUUCCCUAUUACAGGAAUGAAGGACUUUCUCCAAGUACUUCAUUCCAUCCCUGCGUGAUGAAAGAUAAAAGUUUACAACCACCUGCCACCUGUUUCUGAUGCUAGAAAAUACAUUAUGCCCUUUGGCAUGGUGAAGAGAGCAUGCAGGAAAGAUCCCGUAAUUGCGUACGAAUGGCUGAUGGGGAGCAAUAAAAGGGACACUGCUCUCAGCAGCAUUCGUGCAGUGGAGCCUCCAGAGCAGCUUCCCACCUCAGCUGUUCCACCUUUUUGUCCCCACGGUACAGCAGUGGCACAGCACGGGGACGUGCACUGUGAUGUGAGUGAAGUGAACCUCUGACACCACAAAUGUCUUCUGUAUUUCAUCAGCCUGCUUCUCCAUGUGGGUAUACCUGUGAAGGAACUUCAGGUUCCAAGGACUAAAAAUGUCAUCUGCCUGAGGAAGAAGCACUUGAUUUCCUCUGGGGAAUUCAAUACAAGAAGAGAAAAGCAGGAAGAAACGGCUCAUUUGUAAGCCAGUCUGGCAUACAGUGAGUGUUUAAAAAGGCUUCGUUUCUUUUGCAGCAGUACUGAUUCUUCCUUGGAGUUCUGCUUCUUAAUUUCACUUCUCCCCACUGGCUUUGCGUGUUCUCCAGUAGCCAGUUUGCCCAGACUCAAGGAUUCAGGUGUCAGUGUAUCACCUCCUGCUGUGCAAAUACAUAUCAGAACAUUUAAUUCUCUGCUUUAGCACCGAGGGAUUAUUAUUACAUUUGAUUUUAAUCAUCUUCUGGAAUAUACCCAGCCCUUUCCCUGUGCAAGUUGUGCUUUGUACAGAGAUUGUUUUAAGAAGUUUUCACGUGAGAUGGACCAAGGGCUAGCACUGAGCACUCACCAUCACACUCAACAUCUCUUGGGCUUUUUCUGCUAUUCCAAGGAAGAAAAUCCUUCCUGGGGUAGUUAAGCCCAAAAGAGAAUUAAAUACUUUGGUGGCCAGGCAGUACCACAGCCUCCCAUGAACAGGCCCAUGGAUUGCACACAGCUGUACUCUUGCCAGAAUGGAGCAGGGGGAGGAUCUGCUAGAAAUCUAUUUGAAAGAGCUUUUAAGCUGUAGAUUUGGCAUAAGCAAAGCCCUGUUUUUACAGCCUCAUAAUGAACUCUGAAAAAAACCUUUUCCUUUGGCCCCGUGCCUAUCUACCUGUAAUUUAAUCAAGGGGGGGCAGCAGCAGUCCUGGACUUUCAAGACAAUUUCGCCUCCUCGCACUUGCGCAGCCCACCUCAGCAGAGAAAAAAAAUGGGAAAAAAAGGGAAGGAGGAAGUGCCUCAAGAACGUAGCUUUAAAGUUCUUAUGACAUUAAAGCCAGCACCUCAGCCACUGGAUGUUUGCUGAUACAUUACAGAAAAAGGUGAUCCUUAUUUUAUCCUAAUGCCUUGAAGAAGGUACACGACAAGUUCGUAGCUGAAGCAGGGAUUCCCUGCAGAGAUCCCAAGCCAUCUUUUGUCCGUCCAGCAUUGAUCUGUCUGCCUUAGUUUAUGAAGGGAUGCAGAAGCUCAGUUGCUGAGAGCUAGAGCUCCAGGGUACAUUCCUGAUCAAAACACAAUUACCUGGCAGCUUCACCCAGGCAGCUGUGAAAUCAACCAUGGAAGGGAAGGGUGAAUGAAGAUGCUAACUGCGCUAACAGCAGUCAGCCUCUCCAUAGUGACGCAAAGCAGGAGUCACCUGCAUAAUGUGACAGCACAGGUCUGUGUGAGAGAGAGCUGAGCCUGCACACCCCAGCACGUAGCUGCUGCUCAGCAGAAGCUGAUUGCGUUAUUCUCAAAACAAGGGAAACUGUUAACGCCUGCUUUGGAAAUCCAAAUCCUCCCCCCACGUUCUGGAAGGGGGAAUUACCAAAUGAACCAUCUCUCUCACUCCCCAAACAUAAGGCACAUUAAAAUGUUCCUUUCUGUAAAUAUGGGUGCUGUUAAAACGGUCUAUUUAACUGAUGCAUUACCUGGGUGCUGCCAGAGUUUAGUGCCUGCUGCAUGCACAUGCUGAGUACGUGCUACAGGGAUCAGAGGAGAUGAAAAACAACCCUUUUUCCUCCUCAGAACCAUAAGCAAAACAGCUUUAACUUGGUAACUGCUUAACACUUGAUCCUAACGGCAAACCAGCCCUUCUCCUUUCUUCUUCACCUUCACAGGCAGCUCUGCUCAACAGCCACCAUGGAAUUUAGCAACAAAUGCCUUACGGAGCUCAAAGCGUUAAGGCACACUGGCAUGAAAACAACACCAAAUGACACAGUGUUUUCAAGUAUUCUGUAAGAAAAAGAAACCAAAACUUUAUUUAGUAGAAAACUUUCAGAAUACAAAAUGGGUCUGUUUGUAGUAUUACAAGGACAACAUACUCAUUAAAGAUAAUUCCUGUUCUCCUAA
Molecule: long non-coding RNA, 4072 nt
Organism: Tympanuchus pallidicinctus (lesser prairie-chicken)
Lineage: Eukaryota; Metazoa; Chordata; Aves; Galliformes; Phasianidae
Exons: 11
Source: RefSeq, a predicted model, not a curated record